RNAcentral lists this ribosomal RNA (446 nucleotides) under uncultured bacterium. Its description in RNAcentral is "partial 16S ribosomal RNA". It matches the Rfam family "Bacterial small subunit ribosomal RNA", at positions 338 to 795 of the family's 1533-position model. The record is from RNAcentral.
CCUACGGGAGGCAGCAGUAGGGAAUUUUCGGCAAUGGGGGGAACCCUGACCGAGCAACGCCGCGUGAACGAAGAAGUUAUUCGUAAUGUAAAGUUCUUUUAACAGGGAAGAAAGAGAAAUUUGACGGUACCUGAAGAAUAAGCUCCGGCUAACUACGUGCCAGCAGCCGCGGUAAUACGUAGGGAGCGAGCGUUAUCCGGAAUUAUUGGGCGUAAAGGGUGCGUAGAUGGCAUAGUAAGUCUUUUGUAAAAAUGCUGGGCUCAACCCAGUAGGGCAAAAGAUACUGCAAGGCUAGAGUAUGACAGAGGCAAGUGGAACUACAGGUGUAGCGGUAAAAUGCGUAGAUAUAUGUAAGAACACCAGUGGCGAAGGCGGCUUGCUGGGUCGAUACUGACAUUGAGGCACGAAAGCGUGGGGAGCAAACAGGAUUAGAUACCCCUGUAGUC